UACAUACUGAGAAACAGAGCUUACAGGGGAAAUAUAUAGUACUGUAGAGAACUAGAUAUUGAAAAAAGGAUAUCAGUAGGUGACUUCAGAAAAAAAGAACUGAAUGGGUGCUCACAUAGAAAACACCAGCCACACACACACUAGUUAGUAAACAAGGGGUCAGUCCUUCAGGAAGGUUAAUGCACUGAGGUGCCCUACCUUGUUUGAAUACUGGAGUGUCAAAGUCCAGAAUACUGUCGUGUGGGUUUUAGUACCAUCUCAUUUAAAAACCUAAUUCCUUUCAAGAAGAGCUGUGAUUUUAAGUAAAGCCAAACAUUUUU
This is a long non-coding RNA of Prionailurus viverrinus (fishing cat), 320 nucleotides long. RefSeq lists it as uncharacterized. The transcript is spliced from 2 exons. The record is from RefSeq and is a predicted model, not a curated record. NCBI's taxonomy places the organism in Eukaryota, Metazoa, Chordata, Mammalia, Carnivora, Felidae.